This 82-nucleotide transfer RNA is filed under the name Ganoderma meredithae. Its description in RNAcentral is "tRNA-Ile". The record is from RNAcentral. Lineage: Eukaryota; Fungi; Basidiomycota; Agaricomycetes; Polyporales; Polyporaceae.
AAUAAGGUUGCUUAAUGGUUUAAGUAUAUAUUUAUAUAAAAAUAAUUAUAAAUAUAUUAGUGAGUUCAAUUCUCCUUUAUUU